Molecule: long non-coding RNA, 1201 nt
Filed under: Marmota monax (woodchuck)
Lineage: Eukaryota; Metazoa; Chordata; Mammalia; Rodentia; Sciuridae
Source: RNAcentral
CCACUAUGAGUCAGUCACCCACCUUAUAUCAGAGAAAGCAUUCGCCAUUUGUUUUUUUGGGAUUGGCUAACUUCACUUAGCAUUAUCUAAUCCAGUUGCAUCCCAUUUACCUGCAAAUGCCAUGAUUUUAUUCUCUUUUAUUGCUGAGUAAUAUUCCAUUGUGUAUAUAUGCCACAUUUCUUUAAUCCACUCAUCUACUGAAGAGCAUCUAGGUUGGUUCCACAGUUUAGCUAUUGCGAAUUGUGCUGCUCUAAACAUUGAUGUGUCUGUGUCCCUGUAGUAUGCUGUUUUUAAAUCCUUUGGGUAUAGACCGAGGAGAGGGAUAGCUGGGUCAAAUGGUGGUUCCAUUCUAAGUUUUCCAAGGAAUCUCCAUACUGCUUUCCAUAUUGGCUGCACCAAUUUCAGUCCCAUAAGCAAUGUAUGAGUGUGCCUUUCCCCCCACAUCCUCGCCAACACUUAUUGUUGUUUGUCUUCAUAAUGGCUGCCAUUCUGACUGGAGUGAGAUGGUAUCUUAGAGUAGUUUUGAUUUGUAUUUCUCUAAUUGCUAGAGAUGACGAACAUUUUUUCAUAUAUUUGUUGAUUGGUUGAGUAUCCUUUUGUCUUAUAUUAGACAAAGGCACCAAAAACAUGCACUGGAGAAAAGAUAGCCUCUUCAACAAAUGCUGCUGGGAAAACUGGAAAUCCAUAUGCAACAAAAUGAAAUUAAACUCCUAUCUCACCAUGCACAAAACUCAACUCAAAGUGGAUCAAGGACUUAGGAAUUAAACCAGAGACUCUCCGUGUAAUAGAAGAAAAAGUAGGCCCUAAUCUUCAUCAUGUGGGAUUAGGCCCCAACUUCCUUAAUAAGACUCCUAUAGCAUAAGAAUUAAAACCAAGAAUCAAUAAAUGGGAUGGACUCAAACUAAAAAGUUUCUUCUCAGCAAAAGAAACAAUCUGUGAGGUGAAUAGAGGACCUACAUCUUGGAAGCAAAUUUUUACCCCUCACUCAUCAGAUAGGGCACUAAUCUCUAGGGUAUGUAAAGAACUCAAAAAGCUAAAAACCAAAUAACCCAAUCAAUAAAUGGGCCAAAGAUAUAAUUCUCUUUGAAGGUCAAACAAUGAGAAUAGAUAAUGCCAUGCUUUGGAGUGUGGAGAAUAUCUCUGUUGGCAGCAAAUUUGCUUUUUUAGUUCUGUAAUGAGAAAAUUAUGUUGCUCACAGGUA